Mesocricetus auratus (golden hamster) is the source of this 2968-nucleotide long non-coding RNA. RefSeq lists it as uncharacterized. The transcript is spliced from 2 exons. Lineage: Eukaryota; Metazoa; Chordata; Mammalia; Rodentia; Cricetidae. The record is from RefSeq and is a predicted model, not a curated record.
ACCUUGUACUUGAUGGUGGAGAACAGGUGCAUGUAGCGGAUGUGGCAGCGGUUCUUGAGGGCUGGGUCCUUCUCGCAGACCAUAAUUUUGGAGCCAUGCCUGGAAAGGAAUGAGGCCCAGAAAGCGGCUGUUCCGUUGGUGUGCUCCCUGCUGGCUCCUGGCUGCAGCCUCCAAGGGUGCCACCACCUUAAGAAAGGCCAAGGCAUGAUCAGUGGCUGCCUUUAGUUUGGAAUGAGAAGAUGCAGAGAGGGACACCGUUUCUCAUGAAGCCACACACGAAACUGGAACUGAAAUUAAUCUCAGAAAGGUAUUACUCAUGCACAUGACUGCAUGUGGGAAGUUCUUUCUGUUGUCUGACUGUGCUUUUUGCUGCUGUGAGCAUUUAGCCCAGCUGUCCCACCUUCAGGCACUGGUCAAGGCGUGAGGACAGUCGGCUCAAGUUCCUGGAAGGAGGCAGCUUCUGUGAUCUGACCCAAGCAAGGAAUUUCUGUCUGUGGUUCCAGGGACACUGACACCUCCCUUCUGCGCCUCCCGACUCCCGCCCCCUGCCUGACAGGUGGGCAGGAAAUGGGAGGGGUAACUCCACAAGCCAGGGACAGGGAAGGGGAGUCCGUGUCUACACUUGUGGAGUGGCUGUAGCGACCCUCAGGGAACUGAGGUUUCUAUGGUAUAUGUGACUAGAGGUGACUUCAUGCACACGUCGAGUGUGUGAGACGCACAGGAGCCUGGGACACAAGCCCCCGAGUGCAAACCCGGCUUGGGGGCAGGAGAUGAGGGGCAGGAAGGAGAACUGCCCUGCAGCAGGUGGAGACACUGGCCAGAGCAGCCCCUCCCUGGCACAGGGGAGAGCACAUGGCCACCUGCAUCUGCCCACCCUGUCUUCCUUCCCAGGGAACCUGCCCAUCUUAGGUUGGUUUCCUGUCAUCCUGACUGCCUGUGCUGUUCCUGCCCUAUCUGCCCCAUGGGGGUGGGGUGGGGGUGGCCAAGGACACAGGAAGUGCCUUCUGGGGGCCUGUAGGCCAGGCCAGAGUUGGCAGCGGCUCUAGGAGAAAAGGACAUUCCGAGGUCGCUGAGAAACCGCCACUCCCCGCUCCUGCUCCUACCCCCCCUUACCCCGGCUUCAAAGGAGAAGAGCGCUUUGGGGGGGGGAGCUGCAGAGUCAGCGCCCUGCUGCCUGCCCCGGUGUGGAGGGCAGAGCAGGACACGGCACUGGGCUCACAGCCCCUUCCCCUGGGCAGGCUGAUACGUCUUCACCCCCUUCCUUCUGCCCCCCAGCCCCCCUCUCUGAGUGGGCAGGUCACAGGGGGCAGGGGCCAAGGAGGGGUUUGGUCUGUCAUCUGGAUACUCCUGCCUGGCCCAGGGCCCUGAGAAGAGGAGGGUUUGGGUUCCCUGACAGGGACCAGGUUUCUCAGAGGGAAAAGGAGGAAAGAAAAACAAAGAGAAGGAAGAAAAGGAGCAACUUGCUGCAGCUGGAGCCCAGCUGAGGGGCCGGGUGGGCGGAGACGGGGCGCUGUGAGAGACCAAGUGUGAGGCUGUGGGACAGUGUGGCGUUGGGAGGCCCUGCUGUUGAGUGUGCUGUGAGCUCGGGAAGGCUGUUUUUAAGUCACUGUGGCGGCGAGGUGGCUUCGUGCGUGAGUCUUGGUAAAGUGGAGGCCGUGGGGGACGAGCUGGACGACUGUGUCUGUGAGGGCAAGGCGUGGUCGCUCACGUCCUCCAGGGCGCUACUGUACCUGAAGCACACAGCCAGCCAGCAACACUGCCUGCUAUGGAGCUUAAGUCUAAGUGCACCCCCCCGAACAGGGUUUCAUGGUUGUCCUGGAACUCACUCUGUAGACCAGGCUGGCCUCGAACUCACAGAGAUCCGCUGGUCUCUGCCUCCCGAGUGCUGGGAUUAAAGGCUGCACCACCAUCCUGGCUCUGAAUGGAUGAUACCCCGAAUCCCCAGCAUGUCUACAAAUGGGCUAGACCUGGUGUGAGAGUAUGUCAGGGGUGUCUGAGCAAACGCCUACCCAUACAUACGACAAUGUCAUAUCUGGGUAUGCCGCAUGCUCUCAGGCAACCGAGUUUCCCCCGGUGGGGGUUUCUGAGAUGCCUAAGUGACUGUAUCAGCUAGCACAGUGCCUGAGUGUCAUUCAGGGCCGUGUGCGUGUGCAUGUGUGCGUGUGCCUCUGCUGGCCUGGGGUUUGUUUGUUUUCCUCCUAAUUGGCUUGUUUUUCCAUGUCCAGCCCACCAAACCGCAUGUUUUUCCUCUCAUCUAGCCAGCCCGCCUGGGCUGGAGCCCCCAGCACGCAUGAGGCCUGCCCGCUGGCCUAGAGAGGAGGAGAGGCAAGCUGCCCACACCCUGAGCCAGGCCAGAUCAGGCCAGGGUGGGGCGCACUGACCCUUCCGCUGCAGGCCUGCCCAUACCACACCCACACUCCUCUUGCCUGGCAUUCAAGGCUCAUGGCCUGUCUUAACCUUUGCUUGUGGGAUCUCUUGAGGUACCCCAAGUUUUGGACUCCCAAGCACACCCCCUCUUGCCUUCCACUCACUUCUCCUUGACAUCUUUAACCACAGUUCUAUGAGCUACUCUUCCCAGCCAAACAGAGCUGGGGGCAGCUCCUGGACCAGGAGCUUUAUCUUGACUCUUGGCCGGAGGGGCUGAACAAGAAACUGUCCAUUGAAAAAUUAUUUGAAUCUCUGGUUUGUCUUAGCUUAAGAUCGGAAUGAUAGGCAGUGUCCAGUAAACAAACAAACAAAACAGGAUUCUACUAGAAGGAACACUGUGAUCCCGUUUCCUACCACAUCAGUAGGAGCUGCCCUGCGGCUGUUCGAGGAGUCACCUGGGGGCAGAAAGGCGCAGGCCGCAGGGAGCUGCCUGGCUAAGGAGUCUCCCACCAGAUUAUCACUAUGGCCAAGUUCCUUUGGAAACUUGGAAGUAAAGACUGUACACUUAGCAUAAACAUUAAAUCAUAAUUCUUGGACUGAA